This is a non-coding RNA of Erinaceus europaeus (western European hedgehog), 131 nucleotides long. The record is from Rfam. NCBI's taxonomy places the organism in Eukaryota, Metazoa, Chordata, Mammalia, Eulipotyphla, Erinaceidae.
AUGCAUGUUUCUAAGGUUUAUGACUGGUAUCAAUUAUGGGAUCUCCAACUGCAUGGGAAAAUAACCUGAAGAAACUUUGACAACACAGGUCGUCAUAGUAACUGUAGUUGUCAUUCAUUUUCCCUAUGUUU